This 301-nucleotide ribosomal RNA is filed under the name uncultured bacterium. RNAcentral's name for it is "partial 16S ribosomal RNA". It matches the Rfam family "Bacterial small subunit ribosomal RNA", at positions 509 to 807 of the family's 1533-position model. The record is from RNAcentral.
CAGUCGCCGCGGGAAUACGAAGGGUGCAAGCGUUACUCGGAAUUACUGGGCGUAAAGCGUGCGUAGGUGGUGGUUUAAGUCCGUUGUGAAAGCCCUGGGCUCAACCUGGGAAUUGCAGUGGAUACUGGAUCACUAGAGUGUGGUAGAGGAUAGUGGAAUUUCCGGUGUAGCAGUGAAAUGCGUAGAGAUCGGAAGGAACAUCUGUGGCGAAGGCGACUAUCUGGGCCAACACUGACACUGAGGCACGAAAGCGUGGGGAGCAAACAGGAUUAGAUACCCCGGUAGUCCCUGUCUCUUAUAC